This 250-nucleotide unclassified non-coding RNA is filed under the name plant metagenome. RNAcentral's name for it is "partial contains small subunit ribosomal RNA, internal transcribed spacer 1, and 5.8S ribosomal RNA". The record is from RNAcentral.
GUAGGUGAACCUGCGGAAGGAUCAUUAACACGAAUUUUAUCCAAUAUCAAACCAAACGUGAACUUUUCCCCUCCCUAUUCAAGUGUUUAUCACUUGUUUAGGCUAAACACUUUUUUACUCUAUAUAUAAUAGUAUUAUACUAUUGUAUAUAUAGUUUUUAACCCCAUCAAUAACUUAACUCUAGUUUGGACGAGGUUUUCCUCUUCAACUACUAACACUAAAAAUAUCAUAUCUCUUAAUUGAGUAUGGU